Molecule: ribosomal RNA, 763 nt
Filed under: uncultured bacterium
Lineage: Bacteria
Description: bacterial SSU rRNA
Rfam family: Bacterial small subunit ribosomal RNA
Source: RNAcentral
GCAAGUCGAGCGAUGAAACUCCUUCGGGAGUGGAUUAGCGGCGGACGGGUGAGUAACACGUGGGCAACCUGCCUCAAAGUGGGGAAUAGCCCUCCGAAAGGAGGAUUAAUACCGCAUAAUAUGAAAGAAUCGCAUGGUACUUUCAUUAAAGAUUUAUCGCUUUGAGAUGGGCCCGCGGCGCAUUAGCUAGUUGGUGAGGUAACGGCUCACCAAGGCGACGAUGCGUAGCCGACCUGAGAGGGUGAUCGGCCACAUUGGAACUGGGACACGGUCCAGACUCCUACGGGAGGCAGCAGUGGGGAAUAUUGCGCAAUGGGGGAAACCCUGACGCAGCAACGCCGCGUGAGUGAUGAAGGUCUUCGGAUUGUAAAACUCUGUCUUCAGGGACGAUAAUGACGGUACCUGAGGAGGAAGCCACGGCUAACUACGUGCCAGCAGCCGCGGUAAUACGUAGGUGGCAAGCGUUGUCCGGAUUUACUGGGCGUAAAGAGUAUGUAGGCGGAUAUUUAAGUCAGAUGUGAAAUUCCCGGGCUUAACCUGGGAGCUGCAUUUGAAACUGGAUAUCUAGAGUGCGGGAGAGGAAAGUGGAAUUCCUAGUGUAGCGGUGAAAUGCGUANAGAUUAGGAAGAACACCAGUGGCGAAGGCGACUUUCUGGACCGUAACUGACGCUGANAUACNAAGCGUGGGGAGCAAACAGGAUUAAAUACCCUGGUAGUCCCGCCGUAACGAUGAAUACUAGGUGUCGGGGGGUACCACCCUCGG